ACCUUAGAGACCAACUAAGUUUGUUCUUGGUAUAAGCUUUCGUGUGCAUGCAUGCUCAUACCAAUAACAAACUUAGUUGCAUGCACACGAAAGCUUAUACCAAGAACAAACUUAGUUGGUCUCUAAGGU
Podarcis lilfordi (Lilford's wall lizard) is the source of this 129-nucleotide non-coding RNA. The record is from the annotation of a GenBank genome assembly. NCBI's taxonomy places the organism in Eukaryota, Metazoa, Chordata, Lepidosauria, Squamata, Lacertidae.